RNAcentral lists this ribosomal RNA (473 nucleotides) under uncultured bacterium. RNAcentral describes it as "bacterial SSU rRNA". It matches the Rfam family "Bacterial small subunit ribosomal RNA", at positions 355 to 844 of the family's 1533-position model. The record is from RNAcentral.
UGGGGAAUCUUGGACAAUGGGGGCAACCCUGAUCCAGCCAUGCCGCGUGAGUGAUGAAGGCCUUAGGGUCGUAAAGCUCUUUCGCCUGUGAAGAUAAUGACGGUAGCAGGUAAAGAAACCCCGGCUAACUCCGUGCCAGCAGCCGCGGUAAUACGGAGGGGGUUAGCGUUGUUCGGAAUUACUGGGCGUAAAGCGCACGUAGGCGGACCAGAAAGUUGGGGGUGAAAUCCCGGGGCUCAACCCCGGAACUGCCUCCAAAACUAUUGGUCUAGAGUUCGAGAGAGGUGAGUGGAAUUCCAAGUGUAGAGGUGAAAUUCGUAGAUAUUUGGAGGAACACCAGUGGCGAAGGCGGCUCACUGGCUCGAUACUGACGCUGAGGUGCGAAAGUGUGGGGAGCAAACAGGAUUAGAUACCCUGGGUAGUCCACACCGUAAAACGAUGAAUGCCAGUCGUCGGGUAGCAUGCUAUUCGGU